UCACACAGGUUUUUCUCUUUGAAUCAUUUUGUCUGUUUAAUUAUCUUAUAUUUCGGAAAACAAAAUGUGUUUCUUGUAUCUGGACAUCUGGACUAAUUAUGACAAUGGAUUAUUUGUUUAACGACACGGAUAUAGAUAAAAUUUUAUCUGUUUCAGUCCAGGAUCAACUGUACAAGGUUCAAAAAAAGAUUUCAAGGUUCCUAUUCAAUGCGAGGAAAAUCCAGAAGGCCAAAAUGGGUUUGUAGUAUUUGAGGGCAGAUCAUACCCAAUAGCUCUGCCAGAUACCUACGCCGAGGGCCAUGGCCAUCAACACUCAGUGUGUCAUGAACCACAGCAAAGCCAGAUAGCACUGAAGGUUCCAGUUCAAUGUGAGGAAAAUCCAGAAGGCCAAAAUGGAUGCAUCAUAUUUGAAAACAUUUCAUAUAGACUUCCUGUGUUGGAUGCCAAUGUUUUGGACCAUGGCUACCAAAACUCAGCU
Long non-coding RNA from Tachysurus vachellii, 478 nucleotides. RefSeq lists it as uncharacterized. The record is from RefSeq and is a predicted model, not a curated record. The transcript is spliced from 3 exons. Lineage: Eukaryota; Metazoa; Chordata; Actinopteri; Siluriformes; Bagridae.